UUGCUCACAAAUUUGUAAUUUAGCAGGGAUCAGCAGAGAUGGCAUAUUCUGUUCCAUGCAGUGUCAGAUGGAAUAGUUCCAGUGAGGAUAGAGUAUUCAUUUACAAGACGGCUCAUUCACAUGGCAAAACUGUCAUGUCAGCCUGGGACCUUGAUUCCCCUCCAUGUGGACUUUGUCAUGAGGUUGCUUGGACUUCUUCCCAGCAUGGCUGCUGAUUCCCAGAACAAGUGUUCCAAGGGGCCCUGGGAGAAGCUGAAAAGUUCUUAUGACCUAGGCUUGAAAGUUCUAGAAUAGCACUCCCACCACAUUCUACUGGCUGAGCAAGUUGCUAGAGCCAGACAGGUUCAAGAAGAAGAAAAUUAGACUCCACCUCUCAGAAUGAGGAAGAAUAGAGAAUUCGUGACAGUCUUCAAUCUGCCAUAUCUCUCCCAGGAAAGGCCAGGAGACAGACAUCUACUCUGGAUAGCUUGGAAGACAGUGGAUACAUUGGAGUUUAUGGAACGCCUAAGAACCAAGUGUCCUUAGGCCCUAGGUUGAAAAUUCCUGGGUUAAACUGUCAUCCUACUGAAGAUAAAAAAUGGACUCCUGCACCCACCUCCUCCUACAAGCUAGACUAAACUAGGCAUGCCAUUUUAUGCUAUAUGUCUCCUCUUUCCUGCAGCUCCUGUUGCAAUUCAAUAAUCAUUUGUGAAAUUAUAUAUUUAAUUGACAGCACACUAGACUAAGCUCCUCAUGAAAGCAAAGGCCAAGCUUGUCUUACCCACCCUCAAAUCCCCAACAUCAAGCCCCCCUUUGCUGCAUAGUAUGCCCUCAAUACAUAUUAGUUGAAUUAAUUACAUGAUCAUUCGAUGGAAUUUCCAGUUGUGGGUUUCCAAGCUCCUACUCCAGCCAUCUGACCAGAAUUAAGAACAGGAACUUGAUCCCAGGCAGAGGUUUCCAGACAGCAAGACAUCUAGGCAUAAAACCCACACAGCCAACGCUUUGCUCCCUGGCCUCGCUCUGGGUCCCACAGAUUGCACGUGUUUUGCAUAUGGAACCUCAUUGACAUCACUGGGAAUUUCACAGAUGGAACAAAUGAGAAGGUGGCAAUAGAAGUUUGCAGCAUGAAGCUGUCAAGAAGAGGUGCUUUGUGACUAGGAGAACAGAGAGCAUGUGCCCUGAUGAAUGAGAGGCAAGUGGCGUGCUGACGGGGGACAGUCAUUGGCUGCCCUUUGAACACAUUGGGGUCAAGGCCCUGUCCAGCUCACUUGGUCCCCAACAUUGGAAGCUUGGGCUCGUUCCAUAAUAGCAGCCUGGCCCGACUUUCCAUCCCGCAUCCCCCUCCUCACCCCUGGCUCCUGCUCUCUGCUUCCCUCCCACCAGUCCCCAGACAAAAACAAAAGGCCCAUUACGAAGUUAUUAGCUUCGUCUCGCAUAUCCCACGGAGUAAGACAACUGCCAACCCCACUUCAACUUAAAAUGUUUAACAGAUUUGCCCACAUCUAAUUUCUGUCACUGUGUUUACAGUACAAGGAACCCAGAGAAGAAAGCAGUGGAGAAAAGUAGUAGGGUUGGGGUUGUGGGGGGACAGUGGAGGAGGCAAAAAAUAAAUGCCAAACUCCUUCAAAGGGCGACAUUCCUCCUUGCGGUUUGCAAACACUUCCUCUUUCCCCAGCCAUCCUGUAAUCAGGCUCCAGUGCUCACCAGAGGAGUGUUUACAUCCAACACCAUUACCGGCAGGGGAGACAGGCGAAAUUAAGGCCUCUGGUCUCUGUUCUCUGAGGCCCCAUUAUCUUUUCCCUCCCCUUUACCCCCUUUCAUCAAACGCCUCCAAUAUAUGAAGGGGUAAAAGCCUUUAAUGGGAUUUUGAAGAUCUUAAAAGCCAGGCGGUUUGUUUAAAAAGGAAAAAGACCAAGAGUGGAGCAUAGCCUGGGAUCCCUGGGUCCAUUUCUUGAAAAAGGGAGCAAACUUUGUUCCAUUUUUUCCCAUCUGCCAAAUCAAGUGUUGGGUUUGAGGUUUGUCUUGGAUGGACAAGCAGACCACACAGAACUGCCAGUGCACAGCCCCCUUUCCAGGGAUGCUGAGAACUCAGUCCACGGCACUCUCCAGGCCUGGCAUCUUCCCCCCCAUCUCUCCAUUGGAGCCAUCCCCAAGACCCAAAUUGGCAUCAACAUCCCCGACCACAGUUAGCUGAGCCUAAUGGUGGCCAAGGGAACAGGAGAGAAGGGAGACAGCAGUCAAGGUCAAAGGAAAUAUUGCAUGUUGGCAAAUCCAAUGGGACGGAUGUUGGGAAAGCCCCAGUCAUACACAACCUCAAAGUUUGGUUAAGAGAGAAACUGGGUUUUCCAAAGCAAUGGUGCUAUUUGGUAUUCUCUUUCCACUUAUUUGGGCUAGUUAGGCAUUGCUGAAUCAGCGUUAGAUUGGCUUGGGAUGUGUUGCGCCACAGUUGUCUGGAGGAGCCAUACUGGGUUGAAGAGUGAUUUCUUAAGAACAUUGCUUCUGCAUGGUGCAUUGCAUUGAGCCGUGCUGUAUUGAAGAUGUUGUUGAAUUUAUGGUCAAAAUUUGAGUAGAAUAUUGGCAUGUAAUUUUGUAUUGCCAUAGUAUUAUUUUGAUCUCUGGUGCCACGUAGGCUGUAGUAUUAUUUCAGAAGACAUGUUGAGAUGCAAUACUGUGUUUGUUCAGGACUGUUGUUGAGUUGCACUAUAAUGUCACAUUGGCGUGUGGUAUUGUGUGGGUAAGCGGUGUGGUAACACCAUCAAGCACUGGUUCUGUUCAUCAGAGGAACUGACUCUCCUAGCAAUAAAACCCAAUCUCCCCUCCCACUGUUGCCACGUGGUCCCUCUGCACAGAAGCUGAUGGCUUUCAGGAGACAGGAGACAGAACCGUGUCUCUGGGAAUACCAAGGGAGACCUUGAGGUCAUCAGAGCUCAAUUACUCAGACUGAUGAUUGGCUGAACAGCAAGUCAAAAUCCCUGGGACUCUUCUACAAAGUGCAAUGGGUCUUGAAUUACUGCACUCUCUGGUUUCCCUCAUGGCAACAGCCUCCCCUCAAA
Long non-coding RNA from Homo sapiens (human), 3032 nucleotides. The record is from Ensembl. Lineage: Eukaryota; Metazoa; Chordata; Mammalia; Primates; Hominidae.